GGGAUAGCUGCCCGAAAGGGCAGGUAAUACCUGAUGAGACCACGGCGGGGCAUCCCGCAGUGCUCAAAGGAGCAAUCCGCAGGGGGAGCGGGCGAUAUCGUAUCAGCUAGUUGGUAGGGUAACGGCCUACCAAGGCGACGACGCGUAGCCGGACUGAGAGGUUGGCCGGCCACAUUGGGACUGAGACACUGCCCAGACUCCUACGGGGGGCUGCAGUAACGAAUCUUCCGCAAUGCACGAAAGUGUGACGGAGCGACGCCGCGUGUGGGACGAAGUCCUUCGGGAUGUAAACCACUGUCAGGGGUUACCAAGUUCUGAGGAGCCCCAGAGGAAGGCACGGCUAACUCUGUGCCAGCAGCCGCGGUAAGACAGAGGUGCCGAGCGUUAGGCGGAAUCACUGGGCUUAAAGCGUGUGUAGGCGGACUUCUAAGUACCUUGUGAAAUCCCACGGCUCAACCGUGGAACUGCUCGGUAUACUGGUCGUCUUGAGCCACCUAGGGGCGAGCGGAACAAGCGGUGGAGCGGUGAAAUGCGUAGAUAUCGCUUGGAACGCCAACGGUGAAAACAGCUCGCUGGGGGUGUGCUGACGCUGAGACACG
Molecule: ribosomal RNA, 599 nt
Filed under: uncultured bacterium
Lineage: Bacteria
Description: bacterial SSU rRNA
Rfam family: Bacterial small subunit ribosomal RNA
Source: RNAcentral